CUCCCCAGUGCUGGGAUUAUAAACAUGCCGUGACACCUGCCUUUUUAUCACGGGUUCUGGAGAUCAAACUCAGGGUCUCACGCUCAUGCAGCAGUCACUUUGCCCACGGAGUCCUUUCUCCUUCUGCCUGUGCUGUCUUGUGGUCCCUAUUAGGGGCUCCUCUAGAACACGGAGGGCCUGCAACAUCUGGGGAGCGAUGACGUGAGAGCCAGGAGCCAAAGGGAACACAGGGCAACAGAGGAGGGAUUAAAGCGGCCAGGCUGCCAGAGGUGAGCAGAGCAGAUUAGAAGCAGGGCCUGACUCCAUCCUAAGGACUGGGUUUUCCUUGGGUGGGAGCCAGAUCUGAACAUUGUCUUUCAGAGCCGUGAUUUGGGGGCGUCAGCUGCACACGGCUUGUGCCCGUGAUGGGCAGCUUCCACAAAGGUCUUAGGAAAACCCACAUCCAGCCUGACGCUGCAAGACCGGCUGCCGAACGCUCAGCCAAGAGUGCUGACCGGGGACAAGCAAGCAGAACCUGAGCUCACAGCACCGAAGGGACAGAGCCUUGAGGACAGCUGUGUUCUGAUCACACCGCAGCAGCCACCGCAGCAGCAGGAUGGGAAAACAACAGAGAGGAAAACCAAUGAGAAGCCUGGAUGCCUCUGUGGAAAAUCCCAGCAAGGCUCUUGAGCACCAGCCAGGCUCAUCCCAUGGCUGUUCACACUUGGUGGAGAGGAGCCUCCGGGGAGGAUUUAGGACCAAACAGCUCCCGGGUGUGCUCAUGAGAAUGGGAGCGUGUUUGUUGCUAGAGCAAGUCCGGGGCCAAGGUCUUCAGGAGUUAAAUUUCUCCGACAAAAACAAGGCAAGGACAGAAGGGCUGAUUUCAGCUCGGAGCUGGAGGUGCAGUCCAUCAAGGUGGGAGAGAUGCGGUGGCAGGGGUGUGGAGCCGUUGGUACAAUAAUCGGCGUUUCCUGUCUCCGGGAUGAAUGGCGGCAAAAUCUGCACACACUGUAGCUGCAGCUGCUAGUAUGGGCUUGCUCGGUGGCAGCCCUGCCUCCCUCUGCAUGUAUGCAGCCAUGCAUCGCUCUGGGUCACAUCUAGGUAUUCCCUGCAUGUAUCCUACUCAUUCCAUUGUGCUGUUUCUAGUCUAUGCAGCAUACUGAAUCUACUAUGUGCUGUGUUGGAGCUCAGAGCCAAGUACGUGAUAUCGGAUCCUUCUACUCAAGGAAAGCAUAGCCAGUGAGAGAAGAGGUGCCUGAAUGAAAUCACCAAGUGCUAGUUUCUGUUUUUAUUGUUGGGGUUUUUCAAGACAGGGUUUCUCUGCAUAACAGCUCUGGCUGUCCUGGAACUCACUCUGUAGACCAGGCUGGCCUGGAACUCACAGAGAUCCGCCUGGCUCUGCCUCCCGAGGGCUGGGAUUAAAGGCGUGCACCACCACCGCCCGGCAACAUGCUAGUUUUCAAUUGUUAACUUGCCACAACCUAGAAUCACCCGAGAAGAGAGGGUGAUCUGAGGAAUUUUCCAGAUCAGUUUGACUUGUGGGCAUGUGUUGUGUAACAGUCUCCUCCCAGAUUAAAACAUUCCAUCCCGUAGGGAAGCUCCUUAAACAGGAAGGUAAACAACUUCAAAAUAGCUUCAGAAAGUCCCUGAAACCGACCAGAUUUGUUAUGCCCCUCCCUGCCAGAGUAAAAAAUAAAAAUGGAGAACGCUUUUCUGAGGAUCUCCGCCAAGCUGCGAAGAGGACUCUGAAGCCAGACCAGCUGCCAGGGAGAGGUUUAGACCAACUGAGGAGCCUGAAAAGGCCGCUGUCCAAGCUGCUGAGCUGCGUGCCGGCUGGGCAGUGUACUCCAGGUUCCAAGAUUUGUGAGCUGUCACCUGUGCUGGGGUGGGCUUUGGCGAUGCAGCUGUCUUUGAAGCAUUUCUGCUCCUGUAAGUAACCCCUCACCCAUAUUCCUGUGAGUAGCUCCCACAAAACCCACUGGCUCACCAAGUUGGACUUUGGCGGUAUUCACACUACGAUCUGUCAUGGGUUCCCUACUUGGGGUGGGUCGACAUGUGUGUUUCAUCUUAUCGGGAAAAGUUUCGUCACACAAGAGCAUGUCUGUGAGGACUUGUCUCGGUAGUUAAAUGAUAGAAAAAAGACUCAGCCCAAUGUGGGUGGCGCCGUUCCCUAGCCAGGGUGGCGGUGGCGUCCUGAACGAUGGAAGAGAUGGAAGAAGCUAGGCAAGAGUAAGCGAGCACAGACUCGCUCAUUUCUCUGAGCCCCCCACCUCAGACAGACACGAUACUUUAAGGCCCCUGCCUUGACUUCCCCAUUGUGAUGGACCUGGAACCGGGAGCUGUAACCUAGAUAAAGCCUUUCUUCAUUAAGUUCUUCUUACCAAGCUCUUUUAAACAGCAACAGAAAGGAAGCUGAAACAUCACGGAAACACAGAAGUUGGAGCGUGGGGACUGGCCUGGACAGUGGAGGGGGUGGGGGUCACAGGUAAGGACUGGACUGGGACGGUUCUUACUAGAGAGGCUGGGGGUGACCCUAUAUGUAAAAUAAGAAGUCGAUGGAGAACCAUCCUGGGAACUCUCAAGCCAAUGAAACUCUGUGGCCAGAAAUGGCAAACAAAGUAGAGAGGCCGAGGGUGGGAAUUAAGAAAACGGGAGCUGAAAACAAUAAAAAGAGGCCCGGAGCUCCUCCUGAAAUAGCUCUGUUCACAGCACUGGGCGCCACGAGGACAAAGCCUGGGCUUCAGCUGGACUUAAGGAUCAGGAUAGAAUAACAAAGGGAAACAGGUUUAAGAUGCGAUUAUGAUGCCACUGGAUACAGGAUGUGAAAUAGAAGGAGGCACCUGAGGUAAUCCUGGGUUCCACAGCAACUUCCUGGUAGGUACCUGGUUAUGAGUAACUGCCGUGCUGAUGAGGGAGAGGCAGCUCUGAGGAGAAAGGGCGAUUCCCCCCCGGCAAAUGAUGAGUUUGCAGUUCUUAAGGGACAGCCAGGAAGACUGAAUUGUCCUGCAGAUACUCGGAAAUGCAGGCCACACGCCACCAUCCAGUGGAUGCAUUUCGGAGCCCUGCACACACGGAGUCACCAGCCUGGAGCAAAGGACCCCAGAGGAAGUGUAUGCAGGCCUAAGACUGAACCUGGGAGAUUAUCACACCCACAGAGCAGGCUACUGAGUGAAAGGCAAUCUGCAUGAUCAGUGUCGGUGAAGGUGUGUCUGCAGAGGUGGAGGAAGAGGAGAAACUGAGGACAGGGUGGGUGGUGAGACCCACAGAGAAGAGACACAUGAGCGGGAGCUGUGGCUGGGGAAGCAGGCGGGUGACAGGAGAGGUUUUUGGAGCAGAGGGUCGUUGACAUGUGUGACAGACAUAGAAAAGGAGCCAGAGAAAGAGGCAGGGUUGACAGCUAAGGAGGGGGUGGUACUCACAGAGAACUGACUUCCAAGGAGGGACCAGGGAUGUUAAGUGCCAGGGCGGCCUCCAAAGAGCCAGGGCUCUUCUUCCCCCAAGGUUGAGAAAAAGCAGGAAGGAUGGAGGAGGAGCUGGGCAAGGAAUGGAGUUGUUGAGCAACAAAAACCAAUCCUACUCGCAGUAUGUGUGUGUAUGUGUGUGUGUGUGUGUCUGUCUGUGUGUAUGAGAGAGUGUGUGUGCGCAUGUGUGUGUGUAUGAGAGAGUGUGUGUGUCAGUGUGUGUCUAUGUCUGUGUGUGUGCAUGAGAGAGAGUGUAUGACUGUGCGUGUCUCUCUCUGUGUGUGUCUGUGUGUGUGUGAGAGAGAAAGCACACACAUUAGUUACUUUCUUCAUCCCUGUGACAAAACACUCAGCGAAAGCAGCUUAAGGAAGGGAGAGCUUAUUUGGCUCACAGUUUGAGGGACACAGUCCAUCAUGGUGGGAAGGAGUCUAAGGAAGCGGGUCAGCUUACAUCAUUAGUCAAGAGCUGCUGGUGUCCAGCUCUCUUUCUCUUUUUAUUUAGUCCAUGGGAUGGUGCCACCCACAUUUAGGAUGGGGCUUCCUACCUUUAUUAAGCCAAUCUCGAACCCCCUCAUAGACAGCAGUUCAGCUCCUGGGUGAUUUUAGAUCCUGUCCAUUUGACAGUGGAGAUUAACCAACAUGGUGUGUGUGUGCACGGUCCUGUGUGUAGGUGCAGGUGUGUGGAGGCCAGAGGACAAGCUUGGGUAUUGUUCUUCAGGAGCCACCCAUCUUGUGUUUGGAGACAGUCUGUCACUAAUUAGGUUAGGCUGGCUGGCCUUCUUGUCUCUGCUUUCCCAGGACCGAGAUUACAAGGGAGCACCAUCACACUGCCUCUUUACCUGCAGAUUCUGGGGAUGGAACCCAGGAGCCCUCGCUCAAAGGGUAAGCUCAAAACUAAGGAACCGGUUCCCUCUAUGUCCCAACCGGGGGCUUCUCUUCCUAAAGACAAGGGCAGCGUCUUUGAUUUCUUUUCCCACCAGUCCUGAGUGAAUGGGUCAUGAGUGGGUGUGGUCCUGCUGGUAACUUGACCUUUGACUCCCGUCAAGUUCAAGAAGCCGAGUUCUAAAAGCAAAGCGUGUUCUGGGCUCAGCAUCUCCUGGGAGCCGGGCUUUUUAUUUUUACUGAGCUCUCAGAGUGCUGUGAUUACAGUCUGAGAAAGGAUAAAAGAGAGGAGUGAGAAACCAGACUCUUUUCUUCCCUGUCUCGAGUGCCGUCGUCUUCAGAGUCAUACUGAGCUGGAAGGUCCCAGGGUGGACAUUUGGUACCUUUGUUCACUAGGCAUGAUUGCAGUCUCUGCCGGUCACAGCAGGGUGUACAGAACACUGCUCCUCCUAAACAUGGCUGAAUGAAGCCAUGAGCCACCACGAACCCAGAUUGGACUGACCUCACAGACUGGACUACAUGUUUGACACGGAUUUGCCAGAAAAUCUUUUCCGUACCACCAGCAAUUCCUUUGCUGACACUCACAGGAUUUAAAGCUCACCAUCUCCUUUCUUGGGACGUGGUUAUAGCCUGUCUAGCAUGUGAUAGGACUCUAGCUUUCCGUCAUGCCAUGGAGAUGUUGAUGCUCACCUGUGUCUCAUCUCUGAGUUCUGGAGAGGGCUCAGGAGGUAAAGCAUCUACUGUGUAAAGGUGAAGAACAGUCUGGACCCGCAACACCCGUGUACAAAGGACAGAAGAGCAUCUGUAAAGCUGGCCCUGGGUGGGCUGGAGGCAGGUGGUUCCGAAGGACUCACUGGCCAGUCUUCUAGUCCACUCAGUGGUCUUCAGGUUUAGUCCAGUUGAUCAUCUCUCUGUCUCAAAGAAUAAGGUAGAGUGGCUAGAGACACGGCUUAAAGGUUAAUGGCACUUGUUGAUCUUACAGAGGACCUGGGUUUGGUUCCCAUCACCCACAUGUUGACUCACACCCAUCCAUAACUCUAGUUCCAGGGGAUCUGAUGUCUUCUUCUGACCUCUGCUCGCACCAAGCACACGCGUGGUACACAGACAUACAGGCAGGCAAAACAUAACAUAACAAAACAAAAGGGUGGAGAAUGAUAGAGGUGACACCUGACAUCCACCUCUGGUCGUCACAUGAGCAUGCACAUACACAUUCCUACACGCAUAUGCAGAUACACUGAAAAACAUACGUGUAACAUAAACGUGUGUCCACAAUACACACAAGCAAAUUUUAAGUUCUUAGAAAGUACGAACUGUGACUGAUUCACCUUCAUGUUCCUAUCUCAUCAAACAGAUUAUACUGAAUAAAUAAUUGUUCUUCAAUAAA
Molecule: non-coding RNA, 5706 nt
Organism: Peromyscus maniculatus bairdii (prairie deer mouse)
Lineage: Eukaryota; Metazoa; Chordata; Mammalia; Rodentia; Cricetidae
Source: RefSeq, a predicted model, not a curated record